UACAGAGGGUGCGAGCGUUGUCCGGAAUCACUGGGCGUAAAGGGCGCGUAGGCGGCCUGCUAAGUAGAGGGUGAAAUCCUGCGGCUCAACCGCAGGGCUGCCUUCUAAACUGUCAGGCUGGAGCACGGUAGAGGCAGGUGGAAUUCCCGGUGUAGCGGUGGAAUGCGUAGAGAUCGGGAAGAACAUCAGUGGCGAAGGCGGCCUGCUGGGCUGUUGCUGACGCUGAGGCGCGACAGCGUGGGGAGCAAACAGG
This 253-nucleotide ribosomal RNA is filed under the name uncultured bacterium. Its description in RNAcentral is "partial 16S ribosomal RNA". It matches the Rfam family "Bacterial small subunit ribosomal RNA", at positions 524 to 776 of the family's 1533-position model. The record is from RNAcentral.